CACCGUGCCACUUCCCACAUCUGUUGGUGUCGUGAUUGUCCUCCACCCGCGCUCCCCUCCCUCUUCCCCACGCCGUCGCUCCUCCCCACCCCGGCGCUGCUCCCCUCCCUUCCCCUCCAUGGCGCCCCUCCUCUCUCCUCCCCGGUUCCCCUCCCCUCCCCGGCGUUGUUCCCAGUCCCCUCCCCUUCCCCGCAGCUGCUCGCCUCCCAGGGCGCCCAUACCCUCCCCCAGCGCGGCGAGCGGCGACGCUGCUGCGCGAGGCCGCGGUCUGUGCGGCGCGAGGAGAGGCGACACGAUGGCGUCCAAGGUCCACUCCUUCCCCAAGCCGCCACCGACGUCCGCCCGCACCAACGCCGCGCACCACCUCCGCCGCCGUCUCCGCGGCCUCUUUUGCCAGAACCCUAACCUCGCCUCGGCCACGAUGGACAAAUCCGGCUCGGCCCCCAUCUUCCCGAAUGUGCGCACCCCCAAGGGCGCCUUCAGGGACUUUCGGGACCGCCGUGCUGGCAUCGUCAAGGCUCUCACCACCGGUGCCAUCAUUAAGAUUGCAGAGGAGCGCUUGGAGGAUAGUUGGGUCCCUUUGGACGAAACAGUGGCUACUGAAGAACUUGAGGAGAUGAUCCACUCUAAAGAGGUGCACACAAAUGCAGUAAUCCUUGAGAGCUGAUCUUGUUGAUCUAAUGGAUGAAUAAUUUAAAGGUUUACAAAGAGCUUAUAUGUGUUCAGGAACAACACUUGAUGCUGGAUAGCCAAAGCACAAGUUAUAUAUCAUGAAUUACAAAUAAGAAAAGGUGAUGUACUCCAUCGCUAUCUACGUAUGAUUUUGAUUUAGCAGUAAAAACUUAAAAAUAGUUCCUAGACUUAAGUGGCCAUACAGUGAUAUAAUUGUUUCUUGAUCCAAAUAUAGUUUAUUUAGUCCUUGGUGAUAUACUUCCUAGCUACCUAUUGUUAGAGUAGAAGAGUGUGUGUCUAGAGUCUUCUCUUGUAGUGUGUAUAUAUAUAUAUCCCAUGGGGCUAGUCAAUACAUUGAACAUGUCGUACAUUGAACAUCCAUAUAUUCUCACAUGGUAACAGAGCUUCGGUUCCUUUGAUCCGGCCGUCUCUCUCGAUCUUCCGCUGCGCUGCCCCUGGGAGCGUCAAUCUUGCUCCUGGGGGCGGCUAAUCCAGCCCCAAACCUUUUUUUUCCUUACCCUCAUGUCGCAGCAGCAGCAACAAGAUUCGUCGCCCCACCCGCCGGCCGCCGUCACGGCCGCCUCAGAUCCGCCCAUCGCGGAUCCGUCGUCGCUCCACCGUCCGUCCGCCGGCGCAGCAGCGCUGCCCGUCCGUCCGCCGGCUCUCCUCCGCGCCGUUCGAGAGUCUUCUUCGUUCUCCACUGUAGCUCACCGAGAAUCACUUCCGCUGCUGCCUCCGGGAGGAGCAAUCUCCACUCCCGGGGGCGGUCACCUCUUAGCUGUAGGUAGUGGUAGCCGUAGCAGCAGCAGCGCCGCCGUCCUCCUCCAGUGUGUCGCCCGUCGCCACCAGUCCGUCGUCGCCAUCUCUUCCGCCGCCGUCGUGGCCAUCGUCCUGCUCGUCGUCGCAUCAGCCCGCCGUUGUGGCUCACAUUGCCGCGGCCCUCCUCCUCGGCCGCCGUCCCCGCACCUCUUCCUUGGCCGCCGUUCCUGUGGCCCGACGUUGUCGAUUCGCAGUCGCCCGUCAUGGAUCUGCCCGUCGCGGGUCCACCGGCCGCCUAUCGUCGUCACCGUCGCAGCUCUCCAUCCGCGACCCAUCGCUGCCGCUGGCUGCUUGUACCCGCCGCCGCUCGUCGUCAUCCGUUUGCAGCGGCCCGCCAUCCCAUCGCCGCCCUGCCUGCUCUGCCGUCCCGUUGGCGCGGCCCGUCAUCGCCCCACCGGCUCCGCUCCGUCCAUGUGGUGCGGCCUCCACCCGUCGGCCCGUCGCUGGCGCAGUCGAUUCGUCCGUCGCGGAGCCAUUGUCCCCGCCCGUUCUGCUGGUGCAGCCCCCACUUCUCCCGCCCUUCCACGGUCGCCGGCGCGUCUCUCUGCUCUCUGUCUUGCUGCUUUCAGCUUGUGCUACUGCUAGUAUCUGCCAUAUAUCAGAGUCUUUUGUCUCAUGUCCAGCUAGCACCUCAGUCAUAUUCAUCAGCGUCGAUCCAAGUCCAGAUCCACUUCAUCUAGUUCGCCAAUGCCGUGCGUGUCUACAAAUUUCAGUUGUCAAAUCAGCCAUUUCUUUUUCUCUAUUGGGUUUGCCGCGUUGUGUGGCUGCCCCAUCAUCAUCAUCAUCUUCUUCUUCGUCGUGUUGAUGCAUCUUUACCACUUGGCCCUUUUUCGUAGCCUUUUUUGCUACACAUCAUCACCAAAUGGUCUUCUUAGUCAUCAUCACGAUAGUAUCACGGCUUUGCCUUCUUGCAGCUGUGGUUUUAUCUUUAUUCUUCUUUGGCUUGGUUUGACACAUUGUUAUUAUCGUCGACUUCAUAUAUCGACAUUGGCUGCAUGCUUUGGCGACAUCUUCAAGCUUGGACUUUGGAUAUAUGUUAUCUAGUUAAUGUAUAAGUGUCAUCUGGUUUGAUAUGUUAGUGUCCUUUAAGUGUUGUAAUUGUACUUUCAAACUCAAUGCUUGUAAUCCACCUUGAGUUUGAGGGGGGUGUUAGAGUAGAAGAGUGUGUCUAGAGUUUUCUCUUGUAGUAUAUAUAUAUCCCAUGGGGCUAGUCAAUACAUUGAACAUGUCGUACAUUGAACAUCCAUCUAUUCUCACAUCUAUAUGUACAUUGAAAUGAUCAAUGUUAUUCUAUGCAGGUUGAAAUGAUCAGUGCUUGAAUUCAUAUAUUUUUAUGGCAACAAUGGAUCAUGAAUGGAUUACAAAAAAUUACUAAAUCGCAUACAGGGCCCCUUUGGCCGGUCUCCAAACGGCCCUGAGCCUCCGGCGGCUCCUUGUGGUUUCGUGAGGGGGGGGGGGGGGGGGGGCGUGGACAGAGAGAGAAGACUCUAGUGAAAAGCUAGCUGUGCUACAAUAGCAUUGUUAGGUGGAGCUGAACCCCAUUGGAGCCAUGCCAAAGGCACCCAUAGCAUGUCUAAUAGUACAGACAUCCUUUUCAAAAAUAUAGUAUAGAGACAUCAUGUACCCUCCAUUGCUAUAUAUGUACAUUUUCUCUCUAGAAUCAUGUCAUUAUAUGGACACGUCAUGUGAUGAAUAAUAUUAUUGUUUCCUCCCACAAUCAAUACAACUUCCAACGAUUAUUCAAA
Panicum virgatum (switchgrass) is the source of this 3236-nucleotide RNA transcript. RefSeq lists it as uncharacterized. The record is from RefSeq and is a predicted model, not a curated record. The transcript has 4 exons. Lineage: Eukaryota; Viridiplantae; Streptophyta; Magnoliopsida; Poales; Poaceae.